RNAcentral lists this transfer RNA (72 nucleotides) under Bacillota bacterium. Its description in RNAcentral is "tRNA-Gly". Lineage: Bacteria; Bacillati; Bacillota. The record is from RNAcentral.
GCGGGCGUGGUCAAAGAGUAUGACGUCCGGUCCCACCGGAAGGUAGAGGUGCAAGUCCUCUCGCCCGCUCCA